AACGAACGCUGGCGGCAUGCCUAACACAUGCAGGUCGAACGAGAUCUUCGGGUCUAGUGGCGCACGGGUGCGUAACGCGUGGGAAUCUGCCCUCUGGUUCGGAAUAACAGUUGGAAACGACUGCUAAUACCGGAUGAUGACGAAAGUCCAAAGAUUUAUCGCCAGAGGAUGAGCCCGCGUAGGAUUAGCUAGUUGGUGUGGUAAAGGCGCACCAAGGCGACGAUCCUUAGCUGGUCUGAGAGGAUGAUCAGCCACACUGGGACUGAGACACGGCCCAGACUCCUACGGGAGGCAGCAGUGGGGAAUAUUGGACAAUGGGCGAAAGCCUGAUCCAGCAAUGCCGCGUGAGUGAUGAAGGCCUUAGGGUUGUAAAGCUCUUUUACCCGGGAUGAUAAUGACAGUACCGGGAGAAUAAGCUCCGGCUAACUCCGUGCCAGCAGCCGCAGUAA
RNAcentral lists this ribosomal RNA (449 nucleotides) under uncultured bacterium. RNAcentral describes it as "partial 16S ribosomal RNA". It matches the Rfam family "Bacterial small subunit ribosomal RNA", at positions 29 to 523 of the family's 1533-position model. The record is from RNAcentral.